This is a long non-coding RNA of Cyprinus carpio (common carp), 1677 nucleotides long. The record is from Ensembl. Lineage: Eukaryota; Metazoa; Chordata; Actinopteri; Cypriniformes; Cyprinidae.
GUGAAACCAUUCAUAAUGUGGUUAGACUUGGUCAGAAGAUUAGGUGUAUAUUUAUAUACCUAAUCUUUUGACCAAGUCUAACCACAUUACGUGCUUUAAACUGCUAUUGUAAAACAAACUUUUUGCAAAACUCUAAAAACACAGCUAUCUACAUUAUACACAUCAUUCAAAAGUAGCAGCUCUUUUGUUCCAUUUGGAAAAACACUGCCAUUUAAAUGCCACACUCAUUUAAUGAUGACCUUCAGCCAGUGAUCAUGUGUAAAAACAGACAUAAUUUGUUCACUAAGAAAUCAAAACGAAAGAUUUUUACCCCCUUGCAUUUCUGUUUACAUUGUAUAUAUAUAUGUAUGUAUAUCUAUAUAUAUAUAUGUAUAUCUAUAUACUGUGUGUGUGUGUGCGCGCGCGCGGUUUGCCAUCAUUCUUCUCUUCUUUCUUUAUUAGUUCAGUCUCUACAGCACGUCUGCAUGAUCUUGAGCAGUUUAAGCUCCUUCACAGCUCUGUUAUGGCGAAUGUUCAAACCAGGAUUCUUCAUCUGGAUCUCUCUAUCAUCAUUAUUUUCCUGAUUCAUGCAGAUUAUUCAAAAUCUAAUCAAGAGCAAAGGAUUCAGCAGCACAUCAACAAAACAGUGUUUGUGGGGGAAACAGUUACACUUCACUGCAACAAAACCCAACUUGAUGAUGAUUUCACAUGGAAAAUGAACAACUCUGUUAUUUUUAGGCAGGUCUCUUAUUUUAACAUAACUAAGACAAACUUCAGCUCAAACAGGAUUCACAUCGACCCCGCAGCUCCAAGAGAAUUAACAAUACAUCAAAUACAAGCGUCUGAUGCAGGAAACUACAGCUGUUACCCAGCAGCAAUAAGAUGGACAUUAACAAUAACAGAAAACACAACCAGACCAGAAUCACUCAAACAAAUGCCGCUGUACAUCAUCUACUCAUGUUCUGGAGUCAUUAUGAUCUGUCUGAUCAUAACCAUAUGCAUUCACAGUAAACUGAAGCAGAUGAAGACAAACUCUGAUCUCUGUGAAACAGACCAGGAGGCAGAAAGUUUAUUUACCACAGAACAGGUUAUUAUUCAGCUUUUAUGGAAUGUGUUCUUGAAUUCUGUACAUUGUUAUACAUUUAACCUAAAUUCUACAACUCUGCAUGAUCUGUACAGGUGAAGAUGAUCUCUGACUGUGACAAACACACAGUAACAGCCUGUGUUUACAGGCUUCAUACAGUUUCAUAAACGUCUUUUCUUCUCAAGACAGUGGUGUGUGUGUGUGUCUGACACUCAUCAGAUCAUGAACAGGAAGAUGUCUGUCAGUCUUUUUUGUGGAUUAGAGAAUGAAACUGUCCCAAGAGUAUGUCGCAGAGGAUCUUUAUAUACACAUUUUCAGAAAGAGUAAUACUUUUUACACUUUGAAAAUUUAAUAUUUAAAAAUUUAACAUGCCUAACUAGAUACUAAAUUAUUCACAACAACACCUUCAAAUACCUUCAGAGACUAUGUCCUCGAUACAUGAUAUCUGUCAUUGUGUUGGACAUCUGGAUGAAGAUCUUAUUUUUUUCCCUUUUCCUUCACCUCAUGAGUCUGACACUGAAACCUUUAAAAAAUGGUGUUUGUCACAAUAUGAAAAUAAGUAUGUACAGUCAGCAGGUCAUUAUUUCAAAAUAAACCAUAACUGUACUAAUGCA